RNAcentral lists this long non-coding RNA (1479 nucleotides) under Solanum tuberosum (potato). RNAcentral describes it as "long non-coding RNA (STUB_LNC011840)". The record is from RNAcentral. Lineage: Eukaryota; Viridiplantae; Streptophyta; Magnoliopsida; Solanales; Solanaceae.
AAUAGAAGAUUGAGGAACGCCACCAUAGAGGGAUAACUUUCAAUACCUCAUCCUUAGAAUUGAAACUGGCCACCCAAGGUUUAACAACAGGCUUAGUAUUGAUCAUAUGAGGGCCAAAACUAAGUAUUACAUCUCUAUUCGCUAUUGAUUGGAAUUCACAACAUAAUAACCCUCAUUGUGAUAAUUGAGUUUAGCUUUCUGAGUGAAUUUACCCUUGCUCUCAAGGAAGCUAGCUACAAUUGCUAUAGUUGGGGAAUCCCAAAUAACAUAUAGUAUCAUAGCACUUCUCCAAAUUAUAGAUUCACUAGCUACCUACUCUUUGUCCUGUUGUCCUAUUUUGACUCUAUCCUUAAGCACAGUGGUAUGAAUUGAAUCUAUGUUGCUCGGACUUUUCAAAAACGUCAAUGAGUGCGUGUCGGAUUCUCCAAAAGUAGUGUAUUUUUGAAGAAUCCGACAUAGAUGCGGCAUCGAAAGUGAAGAGUCCGUGCAACUUAGAAUUGAAUACAAUUUUAGCAUAAAAAAUAUGCAACAUGCAAAAUUCAUAUAUAUGCUAAUACUAAAAAAAUCAUAAUAAUGGUGCACCAUAUACCAAAUUAGAUAUUAUCAUUGUGAAAUAUAUGCAGUUUAUGGCUUCGGUCUUAUCCUAACCAAUUUUUUAGUCAAACUUUUCUUAUUAAGAAAAUAAUUUAACAUUUGUUCAGUCUAAAAUCCACAAGAGAUGGUCAUGGAGUAAUAACAAAUGUCUUUAGCUUACUUAUUUCAGUCAUCAAGAAAUUUUUAAAAACUGAAUAUUUCAAUUUAUAGAUGUACAAAAUUAAAGAUUGAAACAGACAACAUUUUAAUAUAGGCUAAGAAUUUUGAGAUAUUUUGACAACAUUUAAAUAUGCAUAAGACAACCGAUUUAAUGGUUAAAAUUUUUAAAAUAUAAAUAUUUAUUGCAUAUGAAAUUGUGAAUUUUUUGAGAGAAGGGUAACUUCAUAUGAAAUUUUGAUUUUUGUAUGAUUGUAGUUGUUGCAGCGAUUGUAGAAACACAUUAUUAGUUUCUCCAAUUUCGGAAUAAAUGAUAUAUGGUAGAAGAUUGAGGAACGUCACCAUAGAGGGAUAACUUUCAAUACCUUAUCCUUAACAUUGAAACUGGCCACCCAAGGUUUAACAACAUACUUAGUAUUGAUCAUGUGAGGGCGAAAACUAAGUAUUACAUCUCUAUCCGCUAUUGAUUGGAAUUCACAACAUAAUAACCCUCAUUGUGAUAAUUGACUUUAGCUUUCUGAGUGAAUUUACCUUGUUCUCAAGGAAUCUAGCUACAAUUGCUAUAGUUGGGGAAUCCCAAAUAACAUAUAGUAUCAUAGCACUUCUCCAAAUUAUAGAUUCACUAGCUACCUACUCUUUGUCCUGUUGUCCUAUUUUGACUCUAUCCUUAAGCACAGUGGUAUGAAUUGAAUCUAUGUUGCUCGGACUCUUCAAAAACGUCAAUGAGUG